RNAcentral lists this microRNA precursor (99 nucleotides) under Nomascus leucogenys (northern white-cheeked gibbon). RNAcentral describes it as "miRNA (ENSNLEG00000027277.1)". The record is from RNAcentral. Lineage: Eukaryota; Metazoa; Chordata; Mammalia; Primates; Hylobatidae.
GAGGCAGGAGAAUUGCUUGAACCCAGGAGGUGGAGGUUGCAGUGAGCCGAGAUCGUGCCACUGCACUCCAGCCUGGGUGACAGAGUGAGACUCCAUCUC